This 468-nucleotide ribosomal RNA is filed under the name uncultured bacterium. RNAcentral's name for it is "partial 16S ribosomal RNA". It matches the Rfam family "Bacterial small subunit ribosomal RNA", at positions 28 to 507 of the family's 1533-position model. The record is from RNAcentral.
GACGAACGCUGGCGGCGUGCUUAACACAUGCAAGUCGAACGAUAAAGCCCUGCUUGUUGGGUGUCCUCGAGGCGCAAGCGUGAGUAACACAUGAGUAUAAUGCCCUCAUCACUGGGGUAAGACUGGAAAAAAGUGGCUCAUACCGGGUAUGAGCGCCCCUGCCAUGUGGGGGGGUGGAGAGAUUUUCGGCGGUUGGGGAUGGACUCGCGGCCUAUCAGCUUGUUGGUGGGGUAGUGGCUUACCAAGGCUUCGACGGGUAGCCGGCCUGAGAGGGUGACCGGCCACACUGGGACUGAGACACGGCCCAGACUCCUACGGGAGGCAGCAGUGGGGAAUAUUGCACAAUGGGCGGAAGCCUGAUGCAGCAACGCCGCGUGAGGGAUGACGGCCUUCGGGUUGUAAACCGCUUUCGGCUGUGACGAAGCGAGAGUGACGGUACUGGGUAAAGAAGCACCGGCUAACUACGUG